RNAcentral lists this ribosomal RNA (253 nucleotides) under uncultured bacterium. RNAcentral describes it as "partial 16S ribosomal RNA". It matches the Rfam family "Bacterial small subunit ribosomal RNA", at positions 524 to 776 of the family's 1533-position model. The record is from RNAcentral.
UACAGAGGUCUCGAGCGUUGUUCGGAUUCAUUGGGCGUAAAGGGUGCGUAGGCGGCGAGGUAAGUCGGAUGUGAAAUCCCGGGGCUCAACCCCGGAACUGCAUUCGAUACUGCCUUGCUUGAGUACUGGAGAGGAGACUGGAAUUUACGGUGUAGCAGUGAAAUGCGUAGAUAUCGUAAGGAAGACCAGUGGCGAAGGCGAGUCUCUGGACAGUUACUGACGCUGAGGCACGAAGGCCAGGGGAGCAAACGGG